This 258-nucleotide unclassified non-coding RNA is filed under the name Hevea brasiliensis (rubber tree). The record is from RNAcentral. Lineage: Eukaryota; Viridiplantae; Streptophyta; Magnoliopsida; Malpighiales; Euphorbiaceae.
GAAACAAAAAAAAAACCUUCUUAUUUUAAAAAGAAUGUUUAUUAUUUGCAUGUUAAAUUUUCUUUGCAGUUUAUGGAAUCCGAGCUGAACAAAUUAUCAGCAUGGAGAAUCAUACUGUAUAUGUGGUUCAACACAUGUCCCCCUAAUGCCUCCUGUGCUAAAUGCAACAGAAAUAGAACAUUUUGGGUUGAGAAAAGAGAAUGUAAAAUCAUUUGGUAUUGGAAUCAAGUUUCAGCCAUAAUUUCAAGGACUUUUUUU